Long non-coding RNA from Xiphophorus couchianus (Monterrey platyfish), 426 nucleotides. RefSeq lists it as uncharacterized. The transcript has 3 exons. NCBI's taxonomy places the organism in Eukaryota, Metazoa, Chordata, Actinopteri, Cyprinodontiformes, Poeciliidae. The record is from RefSeq and is a predicted model, not a curated record.
GCGCCGCUGAGCCCCCACGCAGCUGGGCGUCCUGCUGCGGUGCAGGCCCACAAGUCUGAGCAUGGCUUCAGCCGUCCUGCUGACUGAGACAGGAACACCAGCUGAGGACUAACAUGGUCAUUCAGAGGACACAGAGGAAACAGCAUCAAGGGCACAAGCGGGUCCAGCAGCUCCUUUUGCCACCUAGAGUAUUGUUUCAUAGGCGAUUCUUAGGCUUCAACCCAGAAAGCAGAACAAAAGCUUCUAACAAAAUGCAAAACACUAGGACAACAGUGAACCUACAGGUCUCCAUUCUCCUCCGUCAUGAACCAGUGGAACUUUUAAAAUGGUAAAAUUACACAUUUACACACAAUCAGUUCUCUCACUCCAUCUCUCUCCCUGUCUGUCUUUUUCUCUGCCUGUCUCUCUGUAUCUGUCCUGUCCAUU